This 73-nucleotide transfer RNA is filed under the name Candidatus Poribacteria bacterium. Its description in RNAcentral is "tRNA-Pro". It matches the Rfam family "tRNA". Rfam says of the family: Transfer RNA (tRNA) molecules are approximately 80 nucleotides in length. Their secondary structure includes four short double-helical elements and three loops (D, anti-codon, and T loops). The record is from RNAcentral. Lineage: Bacteria; Candidatus Poribacteria.
GGGGCAGUAGUUUAACGGGUAAAACACCGUUCUUGGCAAGCGGGAGUUUGGGGUUCGAGUCCCAACUGCUGCA